This 396-nucleotide transfer-messenger RNA is filed under the name bacterium (Candidatus Blackallbacteria) CG13_big_fil_rev_8_21_14_2_50_49_14. It matches the Rfam family "transfer-messenger RNA". Rfam says of the family: Bacterial tmRNA, also known as 10Sa RNA or SsrA, is named for its dual tRNA and mRNA-like properties. Its role is to liberate the mRNA from a stalled ribosome. The record is from RNAcentral. Lineage: Bacteria; Candidatus Blackallbacteria. RNAcentral also lists the same sequence under 3 other names.
GGGGAUGUAAAGGCUUCGACACUUGACAUCAUCGUACGGACUGCGGGCCGAGAAUGUCGAUGUUCUCGUAAAACUAUCGGCAAAAAUUUAAACGCAAACAAGAAAAAUCUGUUUGCCCUUCCUUCGUUGAAAGCUGCACCCGCUCGCGUGGCGGUUGCUGCCUAAAUAAAGGAAAGCCCCAUUCUGCUUCGGGCCACGGAAGUAGAGUGGGCCUAAAUAGUGGUUGCCUGAUUAGCUGAUACUGAUAAGCUGAACAGAAAGAUCAUCAGUUAGUUUGGAUUUGAUCCUGUCUGUGGGAGUGAAUCCAGAUGAAAUUUUUAAUACACAGACUACGUUCUGUAGACGUUCGUAUAGUGGGUUGCGUGGACGCGAGUUCGAUUCUCGCCAUCUCCACUG